Molecule: transfer RNA, 75 nt
Filed under: Nitrososphaerota archaeon
Lineage: Archaea; Thermoproteati; Nitrososphaerota
Description: Thaumarchaeota archaeon tRNA-Met
Rfam family: tRNA
About the family: Transfer RNA (tRNA) molecules are approximately 80 nucleotides in length. Their secondary structure includes four short double-helical elements and three loops (D, anti-codon, and T loops).
Source: RNAcentral
AGCGAGGUGGGGAAGCCAGGUCAUCCCGGCGGGCUCAUAACCCGCAGACCGGUGGUUCGAAUCCACCCCUCGCUA